GGGCAUGGCAGCAGCCCGGGAAAUCUGUCAUACUGUCCCCCAUCCCUCGCUAGCAGCAGAAUGACUGAGACGGAGCAAAGCUGCUUUCUCUACCCGCGGGAACUGUGGAUGAUUUCACAAGAAGUCGUGAUGGCAUUUGGAGACAGAUCUUUGCCCCCAAAUUACUAAACAGCCUGCUUGGACAACAGCCCCACCACUGAUUCCCAAAAUGUUUUGAUCAUAGGAUCCACAAAUCAAAGAUAUUUAAAGAUGCAGGAUGUUUGGAAAGAGAAUGGCAUUUUCUGUCCUGUAGCUCCUCUCUACUAGGUAGUUGAUAAACACCAGAAGUGAAAUGAAGUCAGUCUUGUCUCAUGAGAUGGAGGGAAAGAAGGCGGUAACUACAGCUGUCAUCCUGGGAACCAUGUCUGGGAGAAAAAGACUGUGAAUGUCUUCAGCUAAUUGGAUGAAGCCC
This 451-nucleotide long non-coding RNA is filed under the name Homo sapiens (human). RNAcentral describes it as "non-protein coding lnc-C5orf22-6:1". The record is from RNAcentral. Lineage: Eukaryota; Metazoa; Chordata; Mammalia; Primates; Hominidae.